Molecule: long non-coding RNA, 344 nt
Filed under: Gorilla gorilla gorilla (western lowland gorilla)
Lineage: Eukaryota; Metazoa; Chordata; Mammalia; Primates; Hominidae
Description: lncRNA (ENSGGOG00000044509.1)
Source: RNAcentral
CCUGCCUCAGCCUCGCCAGUAGCUGGGACUACAGGCGCCGCCACCACGCUUGACUGUCAAAUUAGCUAUUUUUAAGAGUUGUACCUGGCGAUCAUCAGCAGUAUGAAGAGGAGCUGUGGCGCCAGUGAGAGAAGCUGCAGCCUGUUGAGACUCCACAAGAUUGAAGAUAUGAAAAGAGGAAAUAUGCAUGAAUGCCCGCAUGGAGAACCACCCCCACCUGCUGCUGCCGCUCUAAUGAUCACGCCCAUUAUCAACUGAGGGAUGGCUCUGUGCCUUGUCCUUGCAUUACGUGGACCAAGAACACUUCACAGGACUCAGAGAGGUAAAUAAGAGAAACCUAUUCU